RNAcentral lists this ribosomal RNA (715 nucleotides) under Stenotrophomonas chelatiphaga. Its description in RNAcentral is "bacterial SSU rRNA". It matches the Rfam family "Bacterial small subunit ribosomal RNA", at positions 35 to 737 of the family's 1533-position model. The record is from RNAcentral. Lineage: Bacteria; Pseudomonadati; Pseudomonadota; Gammaproteobacteria; Lysobacterales; Lysobacteraceae.
GCUGGCGGUAGGCCUAACACAUGCAAGUCGAACGGCAGCACAGUAAGAGCUUGCUCUUAUGGGUGGCGAGUGGCGGACGGGUGAGGAAUACAUCGGAAUCUACUUUUUCGUGGGGGAUAACGUAGGGAAACUUACGCUAAUACCGCAUACGACCUUCGGGUGAAAGCAGGGGACCUUCGGGCCUUGCGCGAUUGAAUGAGCCGAUGUCGGAUUAGCUAGUUGGCGGGGUAAAGGCCCACCAAGGCGACGAUCCGUAGCUGGUCUGAGAGGAUGAUCAGCCACACUGGAACUGAGACACGGUCCAGACUCCUACGGGAGGCAGCAGUGGGGAAUAUUGGACAAUGGGCGCAAGCCUGAUCCAGCCAUACCGCGUGGGUGAAGAAGGCCUUCGGGUUGUAAAGCCCUUUUGUUGGGAAAGAAAAGCAGCGGGCUAAUACCUUGCUGUUCUGACGGUACCCAAAGAAUAAGCACCGGCUAACUUCGUGCCAGCAGCCGCGGUAAUACGAAGGGUGCAAGCGUUACUCGGAAUUACUGGGCGUAAAGCGUGCGUAGGUGGUUGUUUAAGUCUGUUGUGAAAGCCCUGGGCUCAACCUGGGAACUGCAGUGGAAACUGGAUGACUAGAGUGUGGUAGAGGGUAGCGGAAUUCCCGGUGUAGCAGUGAAAUGCGUAGAGAUCGGGAGGAACAUCCAUGGCGAAGGCAGCUACCNGGACCAA